RNAcentral lists this ribosomal RNA (305 nucleotides) under uncultured bacterium. RNAcentral describes it as "bacterial SSU rRNA". It matches the Rfam family "Bacterial small subunit ribosomal RNA", at positions 333 to 635 of the family's 1533-position model. The record is from RNAcentral.
AGUGGCCUACGGGGCGCAGCAGUGAGGAAUAUUGGUCAAUGGACGAGAGUCUGAACCAGCCAAGUCGCGUGAGGGAAGACUGCCCUAUGGGUUGUAAACCUCUUUUGUCAGGGAGCAACGCCGGCUACGUGUAGCCGGACUGAGAGUACCUGAAGAAAAAGCAUCGGCUAACUCCGUGCCAGCAGCCGCGGUAAUACGGAGGAUGCGAGCGUUAUCCGGAUUUAUUGGGUUUAAAGGGUGCGCAGGCGGCGAGUUAAGUCAGCGGUAAAAUUUCGGGGCUCAACCCCGACGAGCCGUUGAAACUG